GAGCCAGUUUAUCAAUCUGGAUGGUGCCUAUCAAGGGCUGGGGCUGCAAAACAUCUCAA
This 59-nucleotide small RNA is filed under the name Pongo abelii (Sumatran orangutan). RNAcentral's name for it is "processed transcript". The record is from RNAcentral. Lineage: Eukaryota; Metazoa; Chordata; Mammalia; Primates; Hominidae.